Molecule: ribosomal RNA, 374 nt
Filed under: uncultured organism
Description: partial 16S ribosomal RNA
Rfam family: Bacterial small subunit ribosomal RNA
Source: RNAcentral
GUAGGUGGCAAGCGUUGUCCGGAAUUAUUGGGCGUAAAGCGCGCGCAGGCGGUUCUUUGAGUCUGAUGUGAAAGCCCACGGCUCAACCGUGGAGGGUCAUUGGAAACUGGAGAACUUGAGUACAGAAGAGGAAAGCGGAAUUCCACGUGUAGCGGUGAAAUGCGUAGAGAUGUGGAGGAACGCCAGUGGCGAAGGCGGCUUUCUGGUCUGUAACUGACGCUGAGGCGCGAAAGCGUGGGGAGCAAACAGGAUUAGAUACCCUGGUAGUCCACGCCGUAAACGAUGAGUGCUAAGUGUUAGGGGGGUUUUCCGCCCCCCUUAGUGCUGCAGCUAACGCAUUAAGCACUCCGCCUGGGAGUACGGCCGCAAGGCUG